This 468-nucleotide ribosomal RNA is filed under the name uncultured bacterium. RNAcentral describes it as "partial 16S ribosomal RNA". It matches the Rfam family "Bacterial small subunit ribosomal RNA", at positions 28 to 507 of the family's 1533-position model. The record is from RNAcentral.
GACGAACGCUGGCGGCGUGCUUAACACAUGCAAGUCGAACGGAAAGGCCCUGCUUUUGUGGGGUGCUCGAGUGGCGAACGGGUGAGUAACACGUGAGUAACCUGCCCUUGACUUUGGGAUAACUUCAGGAAACUUGGGCUAAUACCGGAUAGGAGCUCCUGCUGCAUGGUGGGGGUUGGAAAGUUUCGGCGGUUGGGGAUGGACUCGCGGCUUAUCAGCUUGUUGGUGGGGUAGUGGCUUACCAAGGCUUUGACGGGUAGCCGGCCUGAGAGGGUGACCGGCAACAUUGGGACUGAGAUACGGCCCAGACUCCUACGGGAGGCAGCAGUGGGGAAUAUUGCACAAUGGGCGGAAGCCUGAUGCAGCAACGCCGCGUGCGGGAUGACGGCCUUCGGGUUGUAAACCGCUUUCGCCUGUGACGAAGCGUGAGUGACGGUAAUGGGUAAAGAAGCACCGGCUAACUACGUG